This 100-nucleotide transfer RNA is filed under the name Brevundimonas intermedia. RNAcentral describes it as "tRNA-Ser". Lineage: Bacteria; Pseudomonadati; Pseudomonadota; Alphaproteobacteria; Caulobacterales; Caulobacteraceae. The record is from RNAcentral.
GCGCUGUUCGGCGGCGGUCAGUGCAUCCAGCAGCUUGCUGCGCUGCUCGGCGAAGCCUUGGGGCGCCACCUCGGCCUGUUUCAGCUGGGCGGCGGUGCGC